CUCAGAUUAAACGCUGGCGGCAGGCCUAACACAUGCAAGUCGAGCGGUAGCACAAGAGAGCUUGCUCUCUGGGUGACGAGCGGCGGACGGGUGAGUAAUGUUUGGGAAACUGCCUGAUGGUGGGGGAUAACUAGUGGAAACGGUAGCUAAUACCGCAUAAUGUCGCAAGACCAAAGUGGGGGACCUUCGGGCCUCACGCCAUCAGAUGUGCCCAGAUGGGAUUAGCUGUUAGGUGGGGUAAUGGCUCACCUAGGCGACGAUCCCUAGCUGGUCUGAGAGGAUGACCAGCCACACUGGAACUGAGACACGGUCCAGACUCCUACGGGAGGCAGCAGUGGGGAAUAUUGCACAAUGGGCGCAAGCCUGAUGCAGCCAUGCCGCGUGUGUGAAGAAGGCCUUCGGGUUGUAAAGCACUUUCAGCGAGGAGGAAGGGUAAUGU
This 439-nucleotide ribosomal RNA is filed under the name Serratia symbiotica. Its description in RNAcentral is "bacterial SSU rRNA". It matches the Rfam family "Bacterial small subunit ribosomal RNA", at positions 23 to 458 of the family's 1533-position model. Lineage: Bacteria; Pseudomonadati; Pseudomonadota; Gammaproteobacteria; Enterobacterales; Yersiniaceae. The record is from RNAcentral.